RNAcentral lists this ribosomal RNA (497 nucleotides) under uncultured bacterium. RNAcentral describes it as "partial 16S ribosomal RNA". It matches the Rfam family "Bacterial small subunit ribosomal RNA", at positions 28 to 507 of the family's 1533-position model. The record is from RNAcentral.
GAUGAACGCUGGCGGCGUGCCUAAUGCAUGCAAGUCGAGCGAACGGACGAGAAGCUUGCUUCUCUGAUGUUAGCGGCGGACGGGUGAGUAACACGUGGAUAACCUACCUAUAAGACUGGGAUAACUUCGGGAAACCGGAGCUAAUACCGGAUGAUAUUUUGAACCGCAUGGUUCAAAAGUGAAAGACGGUCUUGCUGUCACUUAUAGAUGGAUCCGCGCUGCAUUAGCUAGUUGGUAAGGUAACGGCUUACCAAGGCAACGAUGCAUAGCCGACCUGAGAGGGUGAUCGGCCACACUGGAACUGAGACACGGUCCAGACUCCUACGGGAGGCAGCAGUAGGGAAUCUUCCGCAAUGGGCGAAAGCCUGACGGAGCAACGCCGCGUGAGUGAUGAAGGUCUUCGGAUCGUAAAACUCUGUUAUUAGGGAAGAACAUAUGUGUAAGUAACUGUGCACAUCUUGACGGUACCUAAUCAGAAAGCCACGGCUAACUGCGUG